Molecule: ribosomal RNA, 373 nt
Filed under: uncultured bacterium
Lineage: Bacteria
Description: bacterial SSU rRNA
Rfam family: Bacterial small subunit ribosomal RNA
Source: RNAcentral
ACGUAGGGUGCGAGCGUUAAUCGGAAUUACUGGGCGUAAAGCGUGCGCAGGCGGUUUUGUAAGUCAGAUGUGAAAUCCCCGAGCUCAACUUGGGAACUGCGUUUGAAACUACAAGACUAGAAUAGGUCAGAGGGGGGUAGAAUUCCACGUGUAGCAGUGAAAUGCGUAGAGAUGUGGAGGAAUAUCAAUGGCGAAGGCAGCCCCCUGGGAUCAUAUUGACGCUCAUGCACGAAAGCGUGGGGAGCAAACAGGAUUAGAUACCCUGGUAGUCCACGCCCUAAACGAUGUCAACUAGUUGUUGGUAGAGUAAAAUCUAUGAGUAACGCAGCUAACGCGUGAAGUUGACCGCCUGGGGAGUACGAUCGCAAGAUUA